AUCAGAAACAACUGCCUGUCAGCCGCUGAAGACCAACGAUGGGGACUCAGCCAACGCGUGGGCGGCCAGCAGGGACCGCAAAGGUUGCAUGAAGAAGAGUCGGCGAAAACAUCGCAGCCACCGCAGAACCAGGAACCGCUCCUUCGAUGAGCUUCUGUCUCCCCGGAAAGGGAAGAAGAAAAAACGAAAGUCUGAACGGAGGAGGAAAAGAAGCAGGUCUCCUUCACACAGCCUGCCCCCUCUAAGGAAGAAGAAAAAGAAGAAGAAGAAGAGUUCCAAGAAAAGCAAAGGACACAGGUAGAUCUUUAAAAAAGGAAACGAACAUGAAAAACCUGCUCCAACAUUUAUUUUAUCUGAUCAAAUCUGUUGUUCUUUUUAAUAAAUAUUUCAGGUGUACCUCAAAGAAGUCAAAACACAGCUCUUCAAGUUUAAAGCAUAAGCAUAGGAGGGAUGAACGGAAGCACAAGAAAAGUUCUCGGAUUCGCAAACAUCGGAGACGACGCGAUCGGAGGUUGCGGUCGGAUACUUCCUGCUGCCAUUCCAAAACAGAGGACAGAUAUCCUCUGCAUAAGUCUGUGGUUCAUCAGGCUUUUAGAGACCUAGCAGCUGUUGAAGAGGAAGCCAGAGCAGCCCUGAGCCACACGGACACCAGACCACCAACCAAAUCUGUUUGUACCGCGGCUCCAAAAUAUCGCUCCGUCCUCUCGGCCAGCGCCAUUUUGCCCUCAAAUCCUGGAAAAGUGCUUUUCAACGGAAGCAGAGCUCAAAAUUUGCCAAACUGCAGAGAAGGUCCGCAUGAUUAUGAUUCUGGUAAUGACACAUCUUCACCUCCAUCAAGCAAAACCGGUGUUUCCCAAGGGAGCGCCGCUGAGUAUGCCAGGACCGGACGUGUGGCCUCGGCGUUCAGAGACAGCGCCUCGGAUUCAGGGAACUCUGUGACCAGCUUUGCAUCUUCCUGCAAACCUUUCGGGGAAACCAGCCUGUCUGCAACCCUCUGCAAUCAAAUCAGGAACAGGGAGCAGAUAACCUUGGGGUGUCACGUAGAGGUUGUCGGAUCGUCUGAGUCAACCAGCUGUGAAUCGAGGAGGAGGAGGGGUUCGUCUCGGACAAAAGGUCGCUCUUCCACCAGCAGGAGCAGAUCCUCAGGGAGUUCCAAAUACUUGGGACGCUAUUCCAGAAGCUCCUCGUUGUCUUCUCGCAGCUCGUACUCACGAUCCCCCAGUCACUCAGAUGUCAGGCGAAGAGGCAGCAUGAGCAGCCUGAGCUCCAGAGGAAGCUACUCCAGACACAGUGAUGACAGACUUUCAGACAGAAAGAGACGAGCAGACUCCAGAGAGACAGACGCAAAGCAAGGCCGCAAAGUCAGGAAGCGAGGAAGGCGCAAAUCCUACACUCCCAUGAGGAAGAGGAGGAGGGACUCGCCGAGUCAUCUAGAAGCUCGGCGCAUCACAAGUGCGAGGAAGAGGCCCAUUCCUUAUUUCCGGCCAAGCCCCCCCUCCAGCAUUCGUUCCACCAGCGUGUCGUCCUGGAGCAGCAUCUUCACCCGCAGUCGAAGCCCCAUCCACAGCAUCAGCCGCAGUCGCAGUCGCAGCCGCAGCCGCAGUUUGCUCAUCAAACGCAGGAAAACGAGGCAUUAG
Long non-coding RNA from Oryzias sinensis (Chinese medaka), 1637 nucleotides. The record is from Ensembl. Lineage: Eukaryota; Metazoa; Chordata; Actinopteri; Beloniformes; Adrianichthyidae.